CGAAGUGGUGAAAUUGGUAGACGCACCAGACUCAAAAUCUGGAGUUCUUCGGAGCGUGCGGGUUCGAGUCCCGCCUUCGGC
Molecule: transfer RNA, 81 nt
Filed under: uncultured Fusobacterium sp.
Lineage: Bacteria; Fusobacteriati; Fusobacteriota; Fusobacteriia; Fusobacteriales; Fusobacteriaceae
Rfam family: tRNA
About the family: Transfer RNA (tRNA) molecules are approximately 80 nucleotides in length. Their secondary structure includes four short double-helical elements and three loops (D, anti-codon, and T loops). Further hydrogen bonds mediate the characteristic L-shaped molecular structure. tRNAs have two regions of fundamental functional importance: the anti-codon, which is responsible for specific mRNA codon recognition, and the 3' end, to which the tRNAs corresponding amino acid is attached (by aminoacyl-tRNA synthetases). tRNAs cope with the degeneracy of the genetic code in two manners: having more than one tRNA (with a specific anti-codon) for a particular amino acid; and 'wobble' base-pairing, i.e. permitting non-standard base-pairing at the 3rd anti-codon position.
Source: RNAcentral